Molecule: unclassified non-coding RNA, 300 nt
Organism: Amazona collaria (yellow-billed parrot)
Lineage: Eukaryota; Metazoa; Chordata; Aves; Psittaciformes; Psittacidae
Rfam family: Metazoan signal recognition particle RNA
About the family: The signal recognition particle (SRP) is a universally conserved ribonucleoprotein. It is involved in the co-translational targeting of proteins to membranes.
Source: Ensembl
GCUGGGUGCGGCGGCACACACCUGUAGUCCCAGCUACUCGUAAGACUGAGCCUGCCAGGUCGCUUGAGCCCAGGAGCUCUGGGCUGCAGUGCACUAUGCCGAGCGGGUGUCCGUGUAAAGGCUGGCAUCAAUAUGGUGAGCCUCGGGGAGCUGGGGCACACCAGGUGACUAAUGAGGGGUGAACUGGCCCAGGUCAGAGAGGGAGCAGGUCAAAGCUCCCAUGCCGGUCAGUAGCGGGAUCAUGCCUGUGAAUAGCCACUGCAGCAUAGCCUGAGCAACACAGAGAGAUGCGGGUUCUAU